UAAAAAAUGACCUGCGAGGGUCAGGGCUCACUGUUGCCUGAAAAAGGGUAA
Molecule: non-coding RNA, 51 nt
Organism: Trabulsiella guamensis ATCC 49490
Lineage: Bacteria; Pseudomonadati; Pseudomonadota; Gammaproteobacteria; Enterobacterales; Enterobacteriaceae
Source: Rfam